This 717-nucleotide ribosomal RNA is filed under the name uncultured Actinomycetes bacterium. RNAcentral's name for it is "bacterial SSU rRNA". It matches the Rfam family "Bacterial small subunit ribosomal RNA", at positions 71 to 772 of the family's 1533-position model. Lineage: Bacteria; Bacillati; Actinomycetota; Actinomycetes. The record is from RNAcentral.
UGUCUGGGGCAACUCAGGCGGUUAGCGGCGGACGGGUGAGUAACACGUGGGUGACCUACCUUGGGGAUGGGGAUAACGGCUCGAAAGGGCCGCUAAUACCGGGUACGCUCCUUGGGGCGCAAGCCUGAAGGAGGAAAGGGGGCGGCAACGCUCCCGCCCUGAGACGGGCCCGCGGCCCAUUAGCUAGUUGGCGGGGUAAGAGCCCACCAAGGCGAUGAUGGGUAGCCGGUCUGAGAGGACGAUCAGCCACACUGGGACUGAGACACGGCCCAGACUCCUACGGGAGGCAGCAGUGGGGAAUCUUGCGCAAUGGGCGAAAGCCUGACGCAGCGACGCCGCGUGAGGGAGGAAGGCCUUCGGGUUGUAAACCUCUUUCAGGAGGGACGAAGCUACUCGGGUUAAUAGCCCAGAGGGUGACGGUACCUCCAGAAGAAGCCCCGGCUAACUACGUGCCAGCAGCCGCGGUAAUACGUAGGGGGCAAGCGUUGUCCGGAUUUACUGGGCGUAAAGAGCGUGUAGGCGGCCAAGCAGGUCCGUUGUGAAAACUGGAGGCUUAACCUCCAGACGUCGACGGAAACCGCGUGGCUAGAGUCCGGAAGAGGAGAGUGGAAUUCCUGGUGUAGCGGUGAAAUGCGCAGAUAUCAGGAAGAACACCAAUGGCGAAGGCAGCUCUCUGGGACGGUACUGACGCUGAGACGCGAAAGCGUGGGGAGCGAA